This 194-nucleotide ribosomal RNA is filed under the name uncultured eukaryote. Its description in RNAcentral is "partial 18S ribosomal RNA". It matches the Rfam family "Eukaryotic small subunit ribosomal RNA", at positions 1 to 193 of the family's 1831-position model. The record is from RNAcentral.
GUAACCUGGUUGAUCCUGCCAGUAGUCAUAUGCUUGUCUCAAAGAUUAAGCCAUGCAUGUCUAAGUAUAAGCGACUAUACUGUGAAACUGCGAAUGGCUCAUUAAAUCAGUUAUGGUUUAUUUGAUGGUACCUUGCUACUUGGAUAACCGUAGUAAUUCUAGAGCUAAUACAUGCAGGAGUUCCCGACUCACGG